Bos taurus (domestic cattle) is the source of this 1185-nucleotide long non-coding RNA. The record is from Ensembl. Lineage: Eukaryota; Metazoa; Chordata; Mammalia; Artiodactyla; Bovidae.
GGAAUGUGCUGCUGGCUCGGACAGAUGAAGAAACAGAAGACAGUGUCCUGAAUUCUUGACUCCAGAGCCAGAUCAAAACCAGAGGACUUGUGUGCUGAAGGUACCUGAUUUCUUGCAGCCAUAAGGCUAAGACAGCCAAAAAUGAAACCGAAUCUGAGCCUGCAGCGUGGCAAGUUAUAUCAUUAGCAGAUGCCAUGGCUUUCAUCAGCUCUGCUCCGUGGACAUCAGAUCUUUGGGAAACUGCAUGCUGAAGCCUGACCCAGCGAUGGCCCACGCUCACUAAGGCAGGGAUGGCAGAGAUGCCAAGGUGGAACGAAGAGACAGCUGUGUGAGUUAACCGUGGGUGACCCAUCCCACCUGAGGACAUCUCAAAAUACUUUCAUGCUUUCCUUCGCCAAGAGGGUGAGGACCAGGAUGCUGAGGCAACCCAACAACUUUCAAAGGAUUUGGUGUCCAGGUGCGGAGUGCUGCCGGUGAUCUGACUCCUGAUUUCUGGGGGAAGGCGGAGUAAGGGGGCUCCUAGCCCUUGGGAGGGCAGAGGCCAUGGCAGCCAUGACUGGCCAUCACAGCAGCAGGACCAGGUGGCCAUCCCAGUGGUCUGACCAUGAGGACGGGUGGGGUUAAUGGAUCACAAAAUCCCCAGGGCAAACAUGGAUCAACGACCCACAAGGACCUAAGGCUUUUCUUUUAAAAAAUAAUUUAUUUUUGAUUUUUCGGUUGUGGUGGGUCUUCAUUCCUUUUGCACAGGCUACUCUUUGCUGUGGUCCGAGGACUUCUCAUUUCAGUGGUUUCUCUUGUUGCCGAGCAUGGACUCGAGGUGUGUGGGCUCAGUAGUUGCGGUCCACGGGCUUAGUUGCUCCACGGCGUGUGGAAUCUCCCAGAGACAGGGAAGAAACACGUGCCCCCUGCAUUGGCAGGUGGAUUCUUAUCCACUGCACCACUAGGGACGUCUGGACCUAAGACUUUUAUAACCCGAAAGAUCUGGGUCUGCUAAACAGAGGUCUGACUUGACAGAAAUCAAUGGGUGGUCCCAUCCCCAUCUCAAAGCCAAGUCCGUUCGCAGACCCAGAGCUCCCUGAGCAAGGAAAGGACCUGAUAUUGCACUCCGAGUCGGUCCCAUGCAUCUCCCCAAAACAUUCCCCCAAGGGGACCAUGGCCAUUUAUGGAAGAACUAUGCCCUGGGGA